Molecule: long non-coding RNA, 1659 nt
Organism: Spinacia oleracea (spinach)
Lineage: Eukaryota; Viridiplantae; Streptophyta; Magnoliopsida; Caryophyllales; Amaranthaceae
Exons: 8
Source: RefSeq, a predicted model, not a curated record
AAAACAUAAGUACGUUUUCCUCCAACAACUUUGAAACCCUCGCCGCUCAACAUUUCCUCUUCCAGUUCCCACCAUAUUCCCUUCCCAGUUUCCACCAUCUUCAUUUGCUUUGCUAUCACACCAGAGGAAAUAUUUCUCUUCAAGUGUUCUCCUGGUACACUAGAGCACGGCUUCAUCCCUUCCACUGGUACACUAACUUUCUCUCCACCUCACUUCCGAUCCAAUCGCCGAAAUCAGAAGCCUUAUGAGUAGAAUUCGAUUCGGGAUUUCUAGCUUUCCAAAAGUAGAAGCCAUAGAGAAAAUUUGGUGAAAGUUAGACGACAUAUUGGUGGAGCCAUUGACGAUUUCUUAAAAGCUUCUUCAAUUUCUAGCUAUUGACAAAGCAUUAGAAGAUUCUAUAUCGGAUCCCAUGGACCAUACACCUCAGAGUUGAAACGCAAAUUUGGUCAAUGGCAAGAGGAUGGUGGGACCAAGGAACCUUCAUAUCUCCAUUUCUAUGAAUAUGUCGAGGCUGUAAAGCUUACUGGGGAUCCUUAUGUGCCUGCUGGCCUGGCCAGAUCCCCCUCUUCUCUUAGCUCUAUUCUCCAUGGAGGUGCAGGUUCCAUAUUGUGCAAGGACUUGGGCACGUUAGAGGAGCAAGUAAAGUCUGUACUUGAAGAGCAUCCACAGUUUCGGCUUACAAGAGGUAUAAAGAUUUUGCUUGAAGGUUAUGUCUUUAAUUUGUGAUGAGAGACAACCGCAACAACAGAUUCAAUUCUCAUAACUGUUCGAGAUGACUGCCAACAAAUAACAGUAUCAAGGACUGUCGAGGGCAUCUGCGCAAGGCAUGUAAGAAUUCAUGAACGAAGUUGAACUGAAUUCAAAACUUUAACACCGGAAUGGGUAGUCAAACUGCUGGGAUGCUGUGUCGAAUGAGAAGUGUAAAUGCCGAUACAUGAGUACAUGCCAAAUAAAAUCUUGGGUGCAUUUUUUUAUCAAUCUGCAGAAGCCAGAGCUUUUGCAGUGGGAGAGACACUUCAACAUCAUACAAGGGAUAUGCCGUGGUCUACUUUACCUUUACAGAGAUAGAUUCCAGAUUAAAAAUUAUACAAGGGGAUCUUAAAACGAAGUAACAGUUACUUGAUCAAGAACUAAACCUAAAACUGCUUUACUUUGACAUGGCUAGAAUAUUUGGAGGCAACCAGGAUAAAUUUAGUACUCAGAGGGUUGCUGGAACUUAGAACUCAUUAUAAAUGGGGAGUGGUGUCAGCAGUGGAGGUGGACAGAGUUCCUUGGGCUAUCAGUUUGGAAGCGGUGAGGUUCCUAAGCCUGAUUCCACUAAAUCUCCAGCAAACGUCUGCGCUGAACCGGUUAUGAAAGAAGCAACAAGUCCUGCUGCUGCAUCUGAUAAUCCCCAGCCUACUGAUCUCAAGAAGGUUCCUGCUGGAGUUGAUAGUAACAUUAACAGCUGAUAACAUAAUAGGUUGGAAUUAUGAGUGGAGGUGAUAGAUGUUUUGGUCUUAAGUUUGUGUUUAGGGGACAAUACUAUCUAAAUAGUUUAGAUAACGUGUAAACUUUGUUGAUAUGUUUUAGACGUAUUAUUAUGUAAAUUAAUACUAGUAUCUUUAAUUAAGUUAUCAAUAUCUUGUCAUUUCAAUGCUAUAGUUAUGUUUGAUUUUA